RNAcentral lists this long non-coding RNA (5857 nucleotides) under Selaginella moellendorffii. RNAcentral describes it as "long non-coding RNA (SMOE_LNC001351)". The record is from RNAcentral. Lineage: Eukaryota; Viridiplantae; Streptophyta; Lycopodiopsida; Selaginellales; Selaginellaceae.
UUCCAUUAAAAAUUGACUUGCAUUGGCAGUUAAUGCAUUUUUGCUGCCGCUUUUUGAGCCAGAUACAAGCUUGCCAAGCGAGGAGACUCGAUUCCUCUUGGCUCAAUGAAUCCUAGAGUCUCAUUCCCAGUGCUUCCCAGCGAUUGUAUCGUGUUUCCAAUGGCCCAGUUUGCUGCUUGUGGAGGUUUCACAACUUCCAACACUUUGGUGUGACAGUUCCACACAACACUAAAUCCAGAAGUAUAGCCAUGAUGUUUGUAUGGCCUAUUGCGCAGGCUGAUCGUCCCAUUUUCAAACUUCAUGCUGUCAUACAGGAUCCCAGUUGCAAAAUGAGCGUGAGGCUCCGCGUGUGAGCUCCCAUAUGCGGUGCUGUUAAAGAAAACAUUUGGACCAUUUGCUUGGUCCCGGGUCAUGUAGCUGAACUGGGAGCUUCCUCCUUGGAUGACGCUGUUCUUGACGAGGAUCUGGGAGCCUGGAAAGGCAAUGGCGAGAUCAGCAAAUUUUGGACCUUUCAUCGGGCCCGGAAUAGUCCGGAUGAGAUUCAAGCCCUCGACUGUGAUCCUCUUUCCAGUGACAGUCAUGGUAUCGCCUCCAAAGUCGACAGCCACGACAUUUCUCACCCAAGAGUCCUCCACCUGAGCGAUGUUGAGAAAGGUGCCACGGCCGACAGGGAGAACUUUGUCCUGGACAGCCUUGAAGUUCUCGAGACCGACGUGGGAUACUCGUCCAGAGAUCUCCACCUUGACCAAAUAAGCCGGCUGUGACGAGCUCAGGUACCUGAGAUCAACACGAAAUGGAACCGGGAUGUCGAGAAACACCAUGUUCUUUUCGCCGUUAACUCUGGAAACUCUGCGCUCGAUGGAAGUAACCGCAAAGUUUCCCCAUCUCUCGCUCAUAUUCAUCAUCUGGAUCCACCUGGAAGUCAUCGGCCAGACGAUCGAGACGAGAUCGCCGGGUUUGAAUCCACAAGACGAGUCGAGCUUCACAUAGUUAGAACCGGAGGGAACAGUCUCGACAAUAGCAGCUCUGUGACCAACCUCUGUGAUGGUUUGCUGUGGACUCUCGACUGAGAACAAAGCGUGGACGUCCAUGCCAUCCUCGGCUAUGGAAACAUUUGCGUGGAGGAUGGUUUCGCUACUGCUGCUCCCGGUGAUGAGAAUUCCACUGGUGUUGAUGGUGAAGUGGUGGCCUCGAACGUCGAAAUUUCCACUUGAGAGCUGGAUUGCUCCCCGGAAACCUGUGCAGGGAUCGAGUGGCAAGGAGGAGAGCUCGUUGAUGGCAUGCUGGAUGGAUUCACCGUCGCUCUUGUUGGUGUCUUUACAGUUGCGAGCAGGAUAGAGGACAACUUUCACUGGUACCUCUGGCAGUUUGGCAUCUCUUCCCAAGUAUCCCACCGACGAAAAAUCCAUGAUCGUGUCACCUGCAUUGGUGGGUUUGUAGACGAGUUUGCUGGUGUUGGCGUCAAGAGAUACCCAGUAGAUUGGAACGCCUUGAGUUACAUGUAGGCAAGAAAAUAUUGCGAUCAUGAAGAGCACAGAAAGAGCCAUUUUUGCUCGAGCUUCCCUGAUUUUUUCUCUUUGAUUCAUAGUUCGUACAGGAAAUGAUAUAGUCACUCUUGCUUUGGACUUUAGCCUGGAACUAAUGACAACGUCAUGUCUGAUGAAAAGAUCGAGACAAAAUGCAGGCCAAGUGAGAAAGACUUUUAACUUAACCAUCAUUUUCAAAGUGAUGAAACCUCGUCGUACAUGUGGAAUAAUUUUCCUCUUGGAGAUUCUGGAAAUGGAUUGUGUCGUGGAAUGCUCUGGACCAAACUGGCAAUUGAAAAGGCUUAAUCUUGGGCAAAUGCUGCAAUGACGGUGUUCCAUGAUGUUCUAUCCUGUUCGGGCAUUUUGUAAACCAUUACUUCUAAAUAGAGGACGAAUCAUGGCAUCUCGCGAGGUCCAGAAAAGAAAUCUUGAUUAAUAAUCUGAUUAUUAGCUGAAGGCUAUAAACACGAUCACUAACACCAGCUAUUUACUAUUAGUAAUGGGAUUCAAACCCAUGCCCUUGCAGACUAGUACCUGAAACUAGAGGCUUAGAUCAACUCGAAAUUGUACAAAUGCAUUUUCACAUCCAAGGUUUAUCAUUGUUAGCACUUGAUUGAAACCAAUUUCUUUGUAAACUGACUAUGCCUACAGUGGAUAAAGUGUAAGAAAACCAACUAUGUCUACUAUGGACAGUGAUUAUUGAACAUUUUAUUUGAUCUAAUUGAAUUAUAAAUUUAUCAUUUGGUAAAUUGAUUAAUCAAUUCAUGAGCUUAUAUUCAUGAGUUGAUUUAUCACUUCAUGAUGUUUCUGGGUUGCCUAUAUUUAAAAUUUUGAACUAAAUAUAGUUAUUAAUAUAUCUAGCUAUUUUUCUUAUUUUAAAAUUAACUAAUAUCAAUAUCAAGUAUUGAACCUUAAUUCUACUGUAAAAACCUAAAUAAAACCACUUAUUCAUAGGGGUUUAAAUAUAAAGGGAAAGGGUUUAUAGAAAAAAAUUAAUCUUUUCUAAUGCAUUGUGCAGAAAUGACAAUCUAAUGGACAGUCUAGAUAUUAUAGCAUCGUUGCUUGAUACUCACUUGGAAUUUAAAAUUGAAAAAGAGAAUUCAAAGCUCAGAUAGGCUAAAAAUAUUUGGAAGAUUUUGCAUGAUCAAUGAGUUCCUUCCACUUCCAUGACUAAUAUCCAGCUGCAUCACAACAAAAGAAGACUAUGAACUUGAAAGUCAAAUUAAAAGAUAUUUAGGGUUAAGUGUAUUAAUUUUAAAUAGUAUUGGGUUGAGUUACGAUACUUGAGGUUAAAUGUUCUUAAAUUUGAAUAGUGACCUCUUAAGAAGUAUAAAUUUAAGAAUUUACACUACUAAGAUGUGAAUGCAACCUAUAAAAGCCUUAAGGAAAGAAUACUAGCCAGAAAAAAAAGCACCAUAAAGCAAGAUAUUUAUAUGAAAUGUUACAAGCCUUAAACCAACUCCUCUCUACACUCUAAAUAUUAAACACAACAUCCCAGCCACAAAUGCUUAAUUGCAAGUCACUUUAAGCAUUAUUAAAGAUCCUUUCACACCACCUAACCACCUCACCUCCAAACCUUAUACCAUGAGUUUUUUUGUUUCCUAACAUUAAAUAACACAACUAUAUCACUCUAUAGCCAUCUUGGAUGUAAUGUUUAUUACAUUCUACACACCUAUUUGAUGUUAUCUUUUGCAUGCCUAAAGGUUGAAGUCUUGCUUUACUUCUUCAGCCCUUUAUAGAACCUUCACCAUCAUACUUGGAAACUUAACCAAAGUGAAGUAGUUGGUCUAAUAAUUCUCCAGUAUUUUAAACUCUAUGAUUUAUAAUAAAUUCACCAAUAAACUAUUAUGAUCAAUCAACUAUUGAAUUGAUGAAACAAAUCAUCAAUUAUCAAAGCAUUCAUUGAUCAAUUAAAUCAUGAACUGAUCAAUCAACUCAUGAUUUGAUCAAUUUAUAAUUCAAUUUAACUAUAAUUGAUCAAUAAUCAAGCACACUUUUUCCACUAUAGCCUUCUUUACUGGAUAAUUCAGCAAGAUGGCUUGGUGUUGCAAAAUGUUUAAGAGUGUGUUCAUUCACACAUUGGCAAUUUCAUUUUUAGACAGCUGAAUUUCUUAUUGAAAAGCUGAUAGAUAACACUUGAAUCAGUUGUAACUUAUCAUGUCAUGAUACAAGCCUGCCAAGAAUUGCGGGACUUGUUUGGGUUGGGCAGAAUUAGGUACCCAGGCGAAAAAUGGGCCCCUUGCCCUAGUGGGCUUGCAAGAGUUUUGUAAACUCUAGAACCAAGAUGGAGAUCUUAGUACAAACAAAGCAAGUGAAGAUUGAAAGGCUUCGGAAUGCACUUCUUGCUUGCUGUGGAACUAUGGAUACAAUCCUUCAGGAGGAGGAAGAGGAAGAGGCGGAAUCCAGCCGGCACUCUUCGGCAGACGAGAGCUCCGAUGACGAGGUACGAAUGGUGCUUAAUACCAGUGGAUUCUUUUGCACAGGAGAACCACUACGCAAGUUUUGCUCAAUGCUCAGUGCUUGGGCCCUGGGGCUGAGCUAGAAGUGAGAAAGUUGUGGAUCUCUGCUUGUGAGCAUUUGUUUUGAACAGCAACAACAACUGACCAGUUGUUUUGAAGUGCAAAGAACAAUGUCCCUUCAUUGUAUGCAACAGUUUGUUUUAGAAAUUCAUCACAUCUGGCAAAUGCAUAGUUUAACUACAAGACUUCACAAUUGUAUCUUUCACCAACCAAUCCACUCUAAUCUUCAUAGGUAUUACUUUAUUCUCUUCUUUUCCUUCUGUUGAAUCACUUUUAGUUCUUGUUCAACAACAAAAGCAUUUGUAGAUUGUGGUGGCUUCUUCACAUCUUGCCCAGAAACAUCUUAUAAUGAUGGCACAACACGCUGGACAAUGGCCUUCCUCAUGCCUCAAGUCUUAUGCUAAACCUCCCAAGGUUGUGAUCUUGUGAGAGAAAUGAUACCAAUCAAAUUAAUUGCUAUGGCAAGUUUCACCUGCGGAAGUAUCUCCACAGUUAUAAGUACCAUUGGCUGCUUGGAUAAAAAAUGUCAAUGGGGAACUCUAGAUGUGUGAUUGGCUUGGAUUGGUCUUUAGAGUUUAGUUCUGUUAGGUUGAUUUUAUGUAUACUGUUCUAGAAGGAAUAGGCCAGAUUACUUGACAUAUGAGAAAAAAUUGGUAUGUAAGGAUAUGUCAAUAUGGUCAUUACCCUUAAUUUAUUAACUUAAGUUUUGAAGAAUUUUCGUAAGUUUAAAACUUAACCCCCUGUUUACCUUAAAGUGUUUUGAUUCAUACUUUAACAAACCCUUGUUGAAUCAAGUCUCCCCCUCUAACUCCCAUCUUUCAAGCUCCAAAGCCCCACAAUUCAUGUGGGAUUUUGAUUGGUCCCAGAAUUUUUCACAAGUUUUCGCAGAAUUUCUCGUGGCACAGUGCAAAGAUCCUUCAUGGGUCAUCAAGCACUAGAAGAACAUUUAGGUGUGAGAUUGGAACCACGAUAGAGAGCCAAAAACAGAUCUAGCGACUGGUGGAGGUCAAUUUGAAUGAGAGAUCCCUUGAUCUAGAGCUGAUUGAAGCAUGCUGAGUAAGAGAGAGUUGGAUAGGUUGAGAUCAAGUGGCAGUGCUAGAUUUGCGCACUAUCUUGCGUGAUUAGCAGCCCAAAUCUCCUUGCAGCAAUCAAAGAGCUCUUAAUGGAAUAAUGGCAAGUUAAGUGACUUAACUUCUGUAGCUUCCUAAAAUUUAAGGGUAAAGGUAAAUAUAAGGGAUAUACAUAAGCAUUGAUACAUAGCUUAAAGGUUUAUGUGAAACCAAAUUACUUAAACAAUCACUUUUAACUUUAAGGGUAAGGGUCAGUGCAAAAAAGCCCUAAUACCAAAGUAAUAUUAUACUCAUAGUUAGGCAUACAAUGGUCCAAAUGUAGGUAGAGGGUUUGGCACUGGAUGAUAACCAAAACUUAUCAUCCAAAAUUGUACUGAAAAUAUUGGACCAAAGAAGCAUGCUUUCCAUUGUGAACAACCUUAUUAAGGAAUUUGAAGUGAUUUUUUGUUUUGACUAGUUUGAUUUGAUGUGGAAGUAUUUUUUUAAAUAACAAAACUUUACAGUGGAACAUUUUUGUUAGUUCUCAUAUUUUUGUUCAGAAGUUUCAAUUUUUGCAGCUGCUUUUUGGGCCAAAUACAGACUUGCCAAGCGAUGAGACUCAAUUCCUCUUGGCUCGAUAAAUCCUGGAGUCUCAUCCCCAAUGCUUCCCAGAGAUUGAGUGGUGCCUCCAAUGGCCCAGUUUGCUGCUUGUGGAGGUUUCACAACUUCCAACACCUUGGUGUGACAGUUCCACACAACACUA